RNAcentral lists this ribosomal RNA (900 nucleotides) under marine metagenome. RNAcentral describes it as "bacterial SSU rRNA". It matches the Rfam family "Bacterial small subunit ribosomal RNA", at positions 8 to 915 of the family's 1533-position model. The record is from RNAcentral.
AGAGUUUGAUUCUGGCUCAGAACGAACGCUGGCGGCGUGGAUAAGACAUGCAAGUUGAGCGAUGAACUGACGAUAGCAAUAUCUGACGGGAUUAGCAGCGAACGGGUGAGUAACACGUAGGAAUCUGCCCCAAAGUUCGGAAUAGCCUGGCGAAAGUCAGGGUAAUACCGGAUGUGAUCUUCGGAUUAAAGGCUUCGGUCGCUUUGGGAUGAGCCUGCGUUCCAUCAGCUUGUUGGUAGGGUAAAAGCCUACCAAGGCGAAGACGGAUAGCUGGUCUGAGAGGACGGUCAGCCACAAUGGAACUGAGACACGGUCCAUACACCUACGGGUGGCAGCAGUCGAGAAUCAUUCGCAAUGGACGAAAGUCUGACGGUGCGACGCCGCGUGGGGGAUGAAGGCCUUAGGGUCGUAAACCCCUGUCAGGUGCGAGUAAGGUCCUACUUACGUAGGAAUUGAUAUUAGCAUCAAAGGAAGGGACGGCUAACUCCGUGCCAGCAGCCGCGGUAAUACGGAGGUCCCAAGCGUUGUUCGGAUUCACUGGGCGUAAAGCGUGCGUAGGCGGAGAAAUAAGUUUGACGUGAAAGCCCCGGGCCCAACCCGGAAAUUGCGUUGAAAACUAUUUCCCUAGAGGAUUGGAGGGGAGACUGGAAUUCCUGGUGUAGCAGUGAAAUGCGUAGAUAUCAGGAGGAACACCGGUGGCGAAGGCGAGUCUCUGGACAAUUCCUGACGCUGAGGUACGAAGGCUAGGGUAGCGAAAAGGAUUAGAUACCCUUGUAGUCCUAGCAGUAAACGGUGUGCACUUGCUGUAGGCGGAUUCGACCCCGUCUGUGGCGAAGCUAACGCGUUAAGUGCACCGCCUGGGGAGUACGGUCGCAAGAUUAAAACUCAAAGAAAUUGACG